UUUAGAUGAACAUGACCAACUGGUGGAUGUCCUUGGCCUGUAGUGCAAGGAUGAAUAUAUGAUUCCAGAUAUAUAUUGAUUGAUGAUAUAGGGAUAAAAAUAUUGAUGAUGGACUGUUAAAUUCAUAGAUAUUAGUAGAUUUCAUCCUCUACGUAACUCUUCUAUGAAUUAAUAUUUUCCGCUGCGAAUAUUGAUUUAAAACUUGUUGUCUAUUGUAUUCUAUUAUAUUUUUCCCUGUUGAAGACUAACGAUAAUUUUGUUGUAUAUUAUCUUAGUCAUAAUAUUCUUUACUGGGCUAGUCGAGCUCAUUCUUUUCCUU
RNAcentral lists this long non-coding RNA (319 nucleotides) under Panax ginseng (ginseng). RNAcentral describes it as "long non-coding RNA (PGIN_LNC002028)". The record is from RNAcentral. Lineage: Eukaryota; Viridiplantae; Streptophyta; Magnoliopsida; Apiales; Araliaceae.